This 368-nucleotide ribosomal RNA is filed under the name uncultured phototrophic eukaryote. Its description in RNAcentral is "SSU rRNA". It matches the Rfam family "Bacterial small subunit ribosomal RNA", at positions 524 to 896 of the family's 1533-position model. The record is from RNAcentral.
UACGGGAGUGGCAAGUGUUAUCCGGAAUCACUGGGCGUAAAGCGUCUGUAGGUGGUUUAGUAAGUCUAUUGUUAAAUCUUGAGGCUCAACUUCAAAUCAGCGAUGGGAACUGCUAGACUAGAGUGUGGUAGAGGUAAGGGAAUUUCCAGUGGAGCGGUGAAAUGCGUAGAUAUUGGAAAGAACACCGAUGGCGAAGGCAUCUUACUGGGCCAUAACUGACACUCAGAGACGAAAGCUAGGGUAGCAAAUGGGAUUAGAUACCCCAGUAGUCCUAGCAGUAAACGAUGGAUACUAGAUGUUGCCCGUUCACCGCAGUGUCAAAGCUAAUGCGUUAAGUAUCCCGCCUGGGAAGUAUGCACGCAAGUGUG